AUUGUGGUGUUACUAUGACACCAGGAGAACUUAGAACUUUGUGUGAAAUAGACUGGCCAGCGUUAGAGGUGGGUUGGCCAUCAGAAGGAAGCCUGGACAGGUGUCCCUUGUUUCAAAGAUGUGCGGCCCUUGCAGCUGUUCUUCCCUCGCUAACGGCGUUAGGCUCUGACUCAGAGAGGAGUUUUGUGCCAAGGAAUUCUGGCAGCGUCUACAGUCCUUGUGAUAUUCCCAGUGAGGAAAUCGUUCAUUGUGAGCAGGGGCGAUGGUGACAAGAGGAUCCAGGCGGAUUGGGAAGGAGUCCAGGAAGAAAGAAGACUGGGCCCUGGGCACGUGAAAUCUAUCGGCCUCAAAAUUCUUACCUUUCUUUAAAUCUUUCUAUUUACAAA
Non-coding RNA from Macaca mulatta (Rhesus monkey), 386 nucleotides. Lineage: Eukaryota; Metazoa; Chordata; Mammalia; Primates; Cercopithecidae. The record is from RefSeq and is a predicted model, not a curated record.